UACGGGGGGAGCAAGCGUUGUUCGGAUUUACUGGGCGUAAAGGGCGCGUAGGCGGCCACCGCAAGUCGACUGUGAAAUCUCCGGGCUUAACUCGGAAAGGUCAGCCGAUACUGCGGGGCUAGAGUGCGGUAGGGGAGACUGGAAUUCCUGGUGUAGCGGUGAAAUGCGCAGAUAUCAGGAGGAACACCGGUGGCGAAGGCGGGUCUCUGGGCCGUAACUGACGCUGAGGAGCGAAAGCGUGGGGAGCGAACAGG
RNAcentral lists this ribosomal RNA (254 nucleotides) under uncultured bacterium. RNAcentral's name for it is "partial 16S ribosomal RNA". It matches the Rfam family "Bacterial small subunit ribosomal RNA", at positions 524 to 776 of the family's 1533-position model. The record is from RNAcentral.